UUUUUUUCCUUUUUUUUCCUUUUUUUUCUUUUUUUUUUCUUUUUUUUUUUCUUUUUUUUUCUUUUUUUUUUCUCUGAAGCUAAUCUUCAGUUAAUAUGGAAUUGUGAGCAUAUAAAUAAAAAAUGUUUGUUGUGUGUUUUUCUUGCAGUAAAUCUGAUCAUUCCUCAUACUGAUGCUCAGAAUAUCUCCCCUAAGGUUCACCUUGAAAUAGGUCUCUUCUACGUGGAGCAGAUCUUCUGCCUUUUUAAGAACAUCUCAAGGCCACCUUGCUGCUGCUUGUUUUCCUUUGCUGGAGGUUGGGACAAGAAGAUGAAAACUUGUAGAAUGAAUUGCUCAAUACCCACCAGUCCUAAACUUUAACCUUACCUCAGCCAGGAAUUUUUGCAGGUGUUUUGAGGACCUAGAGUACACAAAACUAUAUUUUUUAAGCCAGUCUUUUAAUAGAUUUGCUGUGUGUUACUCCUGUCAGUGUGUCUCCAGAAAGAAUAGGCGAGCAAUUUUGUGUUUUCACAGAUAUUUUUUUUUGGUAAGCGAUUCAGUCUGAGGAAAAUUUUGAAUGAAGAACAUUGCAACUAGAAGAUAAAUUGCAAUCAAUACACGUUUCAACAUAAUGUAUGCCUGAAAUUGUACUUACCUAUGCAUGAGCACAAUAAUGGUCAAAAUUCUGACACAAAUAAAGAUAUUUUAGGCUUCUGA
Molecule: long non-coding RNA, 696 nt
Organism: Haemorhous mexicanus (house finch)
Lineage: Eukaryota; Metazoa; Chordata; Aves; Passeriformes; Fringillidae
Exons: 2
Source: RefSeq, a predicted model, not a curated record